GACGAACGCUGGCGGCGUGCUUAGCACAUGCAAGUCGAACGGAAAGGCCCUGCUUUUGUGGGGUGCUCGAGUGGCGAACGGGUGAGUAACACGUGAGUAACCUGCCCUUGACUUUGGGAUAACUUCAGGAAACUGGGGCUAAUGCCGGAUAGGAGUUCCUGCUGCAUGGUGGGGGUUGGAAAGUUUCGGCGGUUGGGGAUGGACUCGCGGCUUAUCAGCUUGUUGGUGGGGUAGUGGCUUACCAAGGCUUUGACGGGUAGCCGGCCUGAGAGGGUGACCGGCCACAUUGGGACUGAGAUACGGCCCAGACUCCUACGGGAGGCAGCAGUGGGGAAUAUUGCACAAUGGGCGGAAGCCUGAUGCAGCAACGCCGCGUGCGGGAUGACGGCCUUCGGGUUGUAAACCGCUUUCGCCUGUGACGAAGCGUGAGUGACGGUAAUGGGUAAAGAAGCACCGGCUAACUACGUG
This 468-nucleotide ribosomal RNA is filed under the name uncultured bacterium. RNAcentral's name for it is "partial 16S ribosomal RNA". It matches the Rfam family "Bacterial small subunit ribosomal RNA", at positions 28 to 507 of the family's 1533-position model. The record is from RNAcentral.